Molecule: ribosomal RNA, 503 nt
Filed under: uncultured bacterium
Lineage: Bacteria
Description: partial 16S ribosomal RNA
Rfam family: Bacterial small subunit ribosomal RNA
Source: RNAcentral
AUUGAACGCUGGCGGCAGGCUUAACACAUGCAAGUCGAGCGGAGUGAUGGUGCUUGCACUAUCACUUAGCGGCGGAUGGGUGAGUAAUGCUUAGGAAUCUGCCUAUUAGUGGGGGACAACAUCUCGAAAGGGAUGCUAAUACCGCAUACGUCCUGCGGGAGAAAGCAGGGGAUCACUUGUGACCUUGCGCUAAUAGAUGAGCCUAAGUCGGAUUAGCUAGUUGGUGGGGUAAAGGCCUACCAAGGCGACGAUCUGUAGCGGGUCUGAGAGGAUGAUCCGCCACACUGGGACUGAGACACGGCCCAGACUCCUACGGGAGGCAGCAGUGGGGAAUAUUGGACAAUGGGGGGAACCCUGAUCCAGCCAUGCCGCGUGUGUGAAGAAGGCCUUAUGGUUGUAAAGCACUUUAAGCGAGGAGGAGGCUCUUUUGGUUAAUACCCAAGAUGAGUGGACGUUACUCGCAGAAUAAGCACCGGCUAACUCUGUGCCAGCCGCCGCGGUAA